Molecule: ribosomal RNA, 293 nt
Filed under: uncultured bacterium
Lineage: Bacteria
Description: partial 16S ribosomal RNA
Rfam family: Archaeal small subunit ribosomal RNA
Source: RNAcentral
GUGCCAGCCGCCGCGGUAAUACCGGCAGCCCGAGUGAUGGCCGAUUUUAUUGGGCCUAAAGCGUCCGUAGCUGGCCGCGCAAGUCCGUCGGGAAAUCCACUCGCCCAACGAGUGGCCGUCCGGUGGAAACUGCACACCUUGGGACCGGAAGGCUCGAAGGGUACGGCCGGGGUAGGAGUGAAAUCCUGUAAUCCCGGCCGGACCACCGAUGGCGAAAGCACUUCGAGAAAACGGAUCCGACAGUGAGGGACGAAAGCCAGGGUCUCCAACCGGAUUAGAUACCCGAGUAGUCC